GUGGAUAUAGCUCAGUGGUAGAGCAUGUGUUUGGCAUGCACAAGGUCCUGGGUUCAAUCCCCAGUGCCUAUG
Molecule: transfer RNA, 72 nt
Filed under: Camelus ferus (Wild Bactrian camel)
Lineage: Eukaryota; Metazoa; Chordata; Mammalia; Artiodactyla; Camelidae
Rfam family: tRNA
About the family: Transfer RNA (tRNA) molecules are approximately 80 nucleotides in length. Their secondary structure includes four short double-helical elements and three loops (D, anti-codon, and T loops).
Source: Rfam by way of RNAcentral